GGGGCUGUAGCUCAGUGGCAGAGCACUUGCCUAGCAUGUGUGAGGCAAUGGGUUCAAUCCUCAGCACCA
Molecule: transfer RNA, 69 nt
Filed under: Marmota monax (woodchuck)
Lineage: Eukaryota; Metazoa; Chordata; Mammalia; Rodentia; Sciuridae
Also listed under: 3 other names
Rfam family: tRNA
About the family: Transfer RNA (tRNA) molecules are approximately 80 nucleotides in length. Their secondary structure includes four short double-helical elements and three loops (D, anti-codon, and T loops).
Source: Rfam by way of RNAcentral